UGGGGAAUAUUGGACAAUGGGGGCAACCCUGAUCCAGCAAUGCCGCGUGUGUGAAGAAGGUCUUCGGAUUGUAAAGCACUUUCGACGGGGACGAUGAUGACGGUACCCGUAGAAGAAGCCCCGGCUAACUUCGUGCCGGCAGCCGCGGUAAUACGAAGGGGGCUAGCGUUGCUCGGAAUGACUGGGCGUAAAGGGCGUGUAGGCGGUUUACACAGUCAGAUGUGAAAUCCCCGGGCUUAACCUGGGAGCUGCAUUUGAUACGUGUAGACUAGAGUGUGAGAGAGGGUUGUGGAAUUCCCAGUGUAGAGGUGAAAUUCGUAGAUAUUGGGAAGAACACCGGUGGCGAAGGCGGCAACCUGGCUCAUGACUGACGCUGAGGCGCGAAAGCGUGGGGAGCAAACAGGAUUAGAUACCCUGGUAGUCCACGCUGUAAACGAUGUGUGCUAGAUGUUGGGUAACUUUGUU
RNAcentral lists this ribosomal RNA (465 nucleotides) under uncultured bacterium. RNAcentral's name for it is "partial 16S ribosomal RNA". It matches the Rfam family "Bacterial small subunit ribosomal RNA", at positions 355 to 837 of the family's 1533-position model. The record is from RNAcentral.